AAUCAACGCUGGCGGCGUGCCUCAGACAUGCAAGUCGAACGAUUAAAGCUCUCUUCGGAGAGUGUAUAGAGUGGCGCACGGGUGAGUAACACGUAAGUAAUCUACCCUCGAGUGGGGAAUAACAACCGGAAACGGUUGCUAAUACCGCAUAAUGCAGCGGCACCGCAAGGUGACAGUUGUUAAAGUUUAUCGCUUGAGGAGGAGCUUGCGGCAGAUUAGCUAGUUGGUAGGUAACGGCUUACCAAGGCUACGAUCUGUAACCGGUCUAAGAGGACGGUCGGUCACACUGACACUGAAUAACGGGUCAGACUCCUACGGGAGGCAGCAGUCGGGAAUAUUGGACAAUGGGGGCAACCCUGAUCCAGCGACGCCGCGUGUGUGAAGAAGGCCUGCGGGUUGUAAAGCACUUUUAGUGGGGAGGAAGGUCUGCGACCUAACACGUCGUGGAAUUGACUUAACCCACAGAAAAAGACACCGGCUAACUCUGUGCCAGCAGCCGCGGU
RNAcentral lists this ribosomal RNA (503 nucleotides) under uncultured bacterium. RNAcentral's name for it is "bacterial SSU rRNA". It matches the Rfam family "Bacterial small subunit ribosomal RNA", at positions 32 to 521 of the family's 1533-position model. The record is from RNAcentral.